UACGUAGGGUACGAGCAUUAAUCGGAAUUAUUGGGCGUAAAGGGCGCGUAGGCGGAAUUGUAAGUCAGAUGUGAAAUACCAAAGCUCAACUUUGGUGCUGCAUUUGAAACUACAAAUCUCGAGGACUGACGGAGAAAGCGGAAUUCCACGUGUAGCGGUGAAAUGCGUAGAUACGUGGAGGAACACCGGUGGCGAAAGCGGCUUUCUAGUUUUUACCUGACGCUGAGGCGCGAGAGCAAGGGGAGCAAAC
RNAcentral lists this ribosomal RNA (250 nucleotides) under uncultured bacterium. RNAcentral describes it as "partial 16S ribosomal RNA". It matches the Rfam family "Bacterial small subunit ribosomal RNA", at positions 524 to 773 of the family's 1533-position model. The record is from RNAcentral.